GUCGUAACAAGGUUUCCGUAGGUGAACCUGCGGAAGGAUCAUUACAGUAGUCGCCCGGGUUGCCGCAAGGCCUCCCGGGUAACCUACCACCCUUUGUUUAUCACACUUUGUUGCUUUGGCAGGCCUGCCCUCGGGCUGCUGGCUCCGGCCGGCGAGCGCCUGCCAGAGGACCUAAACUCUGUUUGUCUAUACUGUCUGAGUACUAUAUAAUAGUUAAAACUUUCAACAACGGAUCUCUUGGUUCUGGCAUCGAUGAAGAACGCAGCGAAAUGCGAUAAGUAAUGUGAAUUGCAGAAUUCAGUGAAUCAUCGAAUCUUUGAACGCACAUUGCGCCCCCUGGUAUUCCGGGGGGCAUGCCUGUCCGAGCGUCAUUACAACCCUCAAGCUCAGCUUGGUGUUGGGCCCCGCCGCCCCGGCGGGCCCUAAAGUCAGUGGCGGUGCCGUCCGGCUCCGAGCGUAGUAAUUCUUCUCGCUCUGGAGGCCCGGUCGCGUGCCCGCCAGCAACCCCCAAUUUUUUUCAGGUUGACCUCGGAUCAGGUAGGGAUACCCGCUGAACUUAAGCAUAUC
Molecule: ribosomal RNA, 567 nt
Filed under: Geomyces sp. 17WV06
Lineage: Eukaryota; Fungi; Ascomycota; Leotiomycetes; Thelebolales; Pseudeurotiaceae
Description: eukaryotic LSU rRNA
Rfam family: 5.8S ribosomal RNA (bases 218-371)
Source: RNAcentral